Molecule: ribosomal RNA, 392 nt
Filed under: uncultured bacterium
Lineage: Bacteria
Description: partial 16S ribosomal RNA
Rfam family: Bacterial small subunit ribosomal RNA
Source: RNAcentral
AUACGGAGGAUCCGAGCGUUAUCCGGAUUUAUUGGGUUUAAAGGGUGCGCAGGCGGCCAUUUAAGUCAGCGGUUAAAUCGUGGGGCUCAACCCCAUUCUGCCGUUGAUACUGGGUGGCUUGAUUGCGGUCGAGGUUGGCGGAAUUCGUUGUGUAGCGGUGAAAUGCAUAGAUAUGACGAAGAACACCGAUUGCGUAGGCAGCUGACCAGAUCGCAAAUGACGCUCAUGCACGAAAGUGCGGGGAUCGAACAGGAUUAGAUACCCUGGUAGUCCGCACAGUAAAUGAUGAAUACUUGUUUUCGGCGAUAUAAUGUCGGAGGCAAAGCGAAAGCGAUAAGUAUUCCACCUGGGGAGUACGCCGGCAACGGUGAAACUCAAAUGAAUUGACGGGG